AUAAUGGGUCAGCGACUUAUAUUCUGUAGCAAGGUUAACCGAAUAGGGGAGCCGAAGGGAAACCGAGUCUUAACUGGGCGUUAAGUUGCAGGGUAUAGACCCGAAACCCGGUGAUCUAGCCAUGGGCAGGUUGAAGGUUGGGUAACACUAACUGGAGGACCGAACCGACUAAUGUUGAAAAAUUAGCGGAUGACUUGUGGCUGGGGGUGAAAGGCCAAUCAAACCGGGAGAUAGCUGGUUCUCCCCGAAAGCUAUUUAGGUAGCGCCUCGUGAAUUCAUCUCCGGGGGUAGAGCACUGUUUCGGCAAGGGGGUCAUCCCGACUUACCAACCCGAUGCAAACUGCGAAUACCGGAGAAUGUUAUCACGGGAGACACACGGCGGGUGCUAACGUCCGUCGUGAAGAGGGAAACAACCCAGACCGCCAGCUAAGGUCCCAAAGUCAUGGUUAAGUGGGAAACGAUGUGGGAAGGCCCAGACAGCCAGGAUGUUGGCUUAGAAGCAGCCAUCAUUUAAAGAAAGCGUAAUAGCUCACUGGUCGAGUCGGCCUGCGCGGAAGAUGUAACGGGGCUAAACCAUGCACCGAAGCUGCGGCAGCGACGCUUAUGCGUUGUUGGGUAGGGGAGCGUUCUGUAAGCCUGCGAAGGUGUGCUGUGA
RNAcentral lists this ribosomal RNA (655 nucleotides) under Escherichia coli. RNAcentral describes it as "partial 23S ribosomal RNA". It matches the Rfam family "Bacterial large subunit ribosomal RNA", at positions 612 to 1266 of the family's 2925-position model. Lineage: Bacteria; Pseudomonadati; Pseudomonadota; Gammaproteobacteria; Enterobacterales; Enterobacteriaceae. The record is from RNAcentral.